This 395-nucleotide ribosomal RNA is filed under the name uncultured bacterium. Its description in RNAcentral is "bacterial SSU rRNA". It matches the Rfam family "Bacterial small subunit ribosomal RNA", at positions 30 to 423 of the family's 1533-position model. The record is from RNAcentral.
AUUGAACGCUGGCGGCAUGCCUUACACAUGCAAGUCGAACGGCAGCACGGGAGCAAUCCUGGUGGCGAGUGGCGAACGGGUGAGUAAUAUAUCGGAACGUGCCCAGUCGUGGGGGAUAACGUAGCGAAAGCUACGCUAAUACCGCAUACGAUCUAUGGAUGAAAGCGGGGGAUCGCAAGACCUCGCGCGAUUGGAGCGGCCGAUAUCAGAUUAGGUAGUUGGUGAGGUAAAGGCUCACCAAGCCGACGAUCUGUAGCUGGUCUGAGAGGACGACCAGCCACACUGGGACUGAGACACGGCCCAGACUCCUAUGGGAGGGCAGCAGUGGGGAAUUUUUGGACAAUGGGCGCAAGCCUGAUCCAGCAAUGCCGCGUGCAGGAUGAAGGCCUUCGGUU